UUUGGCGCGUCAUCAAACACGUCAUUGUCUGGUCAAAUUUAUUUGGCCUUUUCACUUAUUCGGCCGAACACCGAAAAUGCUUUUUUUUUGUUUUGCUAUUUUUAGCCGAAUAAUUUCGGUUGCCGAACAUUCGGUGCAUCCCUAAUCUGAACAAUUUGAUACGAACACGAAGAUUUCUUUUAAUUAAUAUGAAAACCAGUCGGAAGUCUGUACGGCUACAUUUUGGUACAGAGCUAACAAUGAUGAAAAGUCAGGUUUUGACCAAAAUUGUUUGCUGCCUGUAAUGUACUUUGACGUCUCUGCUUUAACCCUGCAAUGGACUAGUGUUAGUCCCCUGUUCCUGGGAUUCCCUCCGGAUCCACUGUAACCCUGACCAGGAUAAAGCUGUUACUGAAUGAAUCUCAGCUUAAAAAUAUUUUAACAAAACAAUGCAGACCACUACAGAGUGUAUAAACCUCGUCUUUAAUCACACUGACAGCAUCUUCAUCAUCAUCAUCAUCAUCAUCAUCAUCAUCAUCAUCAGAUCAGAAUGCUGUGUUUGAUGGUCAUUGGAUUUCUUUUAUCCUGUGCAGAUUGUACCAAGUCAUAUCAGAGAAAAACUCUACACCAGAUGAACAGAGCUGCUUUUAAGGGGGAAACUGUUGUUUUUCACUGCAAUGGAACUCUGACUAGUGAACUUAAAGAUAUUGGUUGGCGUAAAGAUGGGAAUCUUAUUUUUAUCCAGAGCUCAGUUAUAAACCAAACUGUGUUCAACUACACAUCGAGCAGGAUGCAGGUUAAUCCCCGAAAUCCAAGAGAACUGCAGAUAUCUGAUGUACAGCUUUCAGAUAAAGGAUUAUACUUAUGUUUUCCAUUAGACAUGCAGUGGAUAUUGACCAUAGAAGACAAGGAACUACAGCAAAAAACAACAAAACAACUGUACAUAGUUACAGUACCCUCAGUUACAGGAGCUGCUGCAAUAUGUGUCAUUAUCUUCUGUGCUGUGUGUAUUCAUAGGAAAUAUAAGAAGAAAGAGGCAUCUGAUCAGACAGACACAAUGGAUAACCAUCAACCACAUGGAGGAAGAAUGAACCGCAAUCAGAGCAGUCAGUAUUUUGAGAGAUUUAAUUCAGUUUAUGGAGAAAUUCAGAUCUGAAGAUUUCUCAAGAAUACUAAAGGGCACAGAAUGUCAACCAGUUUUGGGUCUGCGAGUGUGGAUAUUUAGCUGGUGUCACUUGAAAACACACUGUAUGCCCAGAAAUUGAAACUGAUUAUAUAUGUGAUGCGCUUCUGUGAAAAUCAGACCGAUUGCACAGUACCCAGUACACCUUGUGUAGUUCUUAUGAACAAGCUAUUAACUGCACAGUCAAUUUUCUGAACUAUCUAUUACAGAUACGAGUAUUUGGACACCUGACCAUCACAGCCAUACAUUUAUGGCAUUUGGCAGACACCAUUAACCAGAGUGACUUACAGAAGUGCUUUGAAGUCUCCAUCAAUAAAUACACCCUGAUACUAGUUCACUAAUCACAGACUAAAAAUACUAUCAGUCUAAGAACUCUGUUAGGGAGGUAAUGUAGUAGGAAAGCACACAGACAACACAAUUUGUUUAUUCAGUUAUUUUUAUUAAACUGCUAAUUUAAGUACUCCAGGAAGUGGUAGGUCUUUAGACGUCGUUUGAAGACUGCUAGUGACCCAGUCUUUUGGACAACUAGGGGAAAUUCAUUCUAGAACCUAGAUGCUUUGAGGUAAGUGGGUGCUGGUUCAUUUUUGACUUUGAAGGCAAGCAUCAGUGUUUACAUCUGAUGCGGGCAGCUACAGGAAGCCAGUGGAGGGAACGUAGCAAUGGGGUGGUGUGGGAGAACUUAGGAAGGCUGAAAACAAGUCAUGCAGCUGCAUUUUGGAUCAGUUGCAGAGGUUGAAUGGUACUCAGAGGCAGACCUGCCAAAAGCAAGUUGCAGUAAUCCUGUCUCAAACUGAACAAGCACCUGAAUGGCCUGUGUGGAUAGAAAUGGAUGAAUGCUUCUGAUCUUAUAAAGGAGAAAUUGACAUGAGCAUGUCAGAUUAGCACUGUGAGAAGAAAAGGACAGUUGAUUGUCCAUGGUUACCACAAGCUUGCAUUCAGUGACCGAAGGUGAGGUCAGAGUUUAAGUUUCAUUAAGUUUCAGCUGAUGAGCUGCCAUCCAUGAUGAGGUGUCUGUAAGACAUGCUGAGAUCUGAGCAGAAACAUGAGUGUCUGAGGGAGGGAAGGAGAGGAUGAGUUGAGUAUCAUCCGCAUAGCAGUAGUCUGAAAGAUCCAUAUGUGCUUGUUCAAUUUUCCAAUCCAAAUCCACUCUUUUCACUAAAUUUUGGAGCAUGGCUGUAGGGAUUUACCCAUUUAACAACAAGAAUAUUAGUCAUGCACUGAUGUCAAGCGAGAAGAUCUAGCAUGCAGUCGGCAUUCCAUUUCAUCCAAAAGGUGUUCAGUGUGGUUGAGGUCAGGGCUCUGUGCAGGCCUCUUGAGUUCUUUCACUCGAGCCUUGGAAAACUAUAUCUUCAUAGAGCUCGCUGUGUACUAGGGCAGUGUCAUGCUGGCACCGGUUUUGGGCCCCUUAGUUCCAGUAAGGGGAAACUUAAUCCUACACCAUAGAUAUUCUACACAAUUGUGUGCUUCCAACUUUGUAGCAACAGCUUCGGGAAAGCCCAAGUAUGGUGUGAUGGUCAGGUGUCCACGUGCUUUUGGCCAUAUACAGUAUGAAAAUGGACAGGAACACCAGAUUGUGACUUAUUUCAUUCUUUGAAAACAUUAAGAAUAUUACUGGUCAGGAUUCUAUUCAAAUAAAUUAUUUUUAACAUUUAAUAAAUUAUUUAUUAAACCAUAAAUUUGAACAAAUCCUAAUGGCUGAUUUCUGUUCUGGAAAAAACAAGUAUCUUUCUUUCACCAAACAAGUUUUCCCAGCGAGGGGGAGGGUCGGUAUCAGGUUGGAGGCCCCUGUAAUAUUUUCCAGUUUCAAAUGCUUAUUCCUAGAUGGUUAAUGUAACACACAUACAGCACAGCUGAUUAAAGUAUAUACCUGUUAAAAACAUUAUUAUAAUGCAACUACUGUGAAAAUGUUAUUCAAGUCAGAUAAUGCUAUUUUGCACAGUAAUUUUGCCAUAUAGAUGCAUUCAUUGAAAUAAAAUAUCUAACCACCCCAAAUGUCAAAUAAAU
Molecule: long non-coding RNA, 3166 nt
Organism: Ictalurus punctatus (channel catfish)
Lineage: Eukaryota; Metazoa; Chordata; Actinopteri; Siluriformes; Ictaluridae
Source: Ensembl